Molecule: ribosomal RNA, 253 nt
Filed under: uncultured bacterium
Lineage: Bacteria
Description: partial 16S ribosomal RNA
Rfam family: Bacterial small subunit ribosomal RNA
Source: RNAcentral
UACGUAGGGGGCAAGCGUUAUCCGGAUUUACUGGGUGUAAAGGGAGCGUAGACGGUAUGGCAAGUCUGAAGUGAAAGCCCAGGGCUUAACCCUGGGACUGCUUUGGAAACUGUUAGACUAGAGUGCAGGAGAGGUAAGUGGAAUUCCUAGUGUAGCGGUGAAAUGCGUAGAUAUUAGGAGGAACACCAGUGGCGAAGGCGGCUUACUGGACAGUAACUGACGUUGAGGCUCGAAAGCGUGGGGAGCAAACAGG